Molecule: ribosomal RNA, 440 nt
Filed under: uncultured bacterium
Lineage: Bacteria
Description: bacterial SSU rRNA
Rfam family: Bacterial small subunit ribosomal RNA
Source: RNAcentral
GCUUAACGCGAAGAACCUUACCAAGGCUUAAAUGGGAAACGACGGAUCUGGAAACAGGUCUUCCUUCGGGCGUUUUUCAAGGUGCUGCAUGGUUGUCGCCAGCUCGUGCCGUGAGGUGUCAGGUUAAGUCCUAUAACGAGCGCAACCCCUGUUGUUAGUUGCCAGCGAGUCAAGUCGGGAACUCUAGCAAGACUGCCGGUGCAAACCGUGAGGAAGGUGGGGAUGACGUCAAAUCAUCACGGCCCUUACGCCUUGGGCUACACACGUGCUACAAUGGGACGGUACAGAGAGCAGCCAGUGGGUGACCACGAGCGAAUCUACAAAAACCGGUUCUCAGUUCGGAUCGGAGUCUGCGACUCGACUCCAUGAAGCUGGAAUCGCUAGUAAUCGGAUAUCAGCCAUGAUCUGGUGAAUACGUUCCCGGGUCUUGUUACACACCG